GUGCUCGAUUCAGCAGCACAUAUGCUAAAAUUGGAUCGAUAUAGAGAAGAUUAUCAUGGCCUCUGUACAAGGAUGACAUGCAAAUUUAUGAAGUAUUUUAUAAUUUU
Small nuclear RNA from Myodes glareolus (Bank vole), 107 nucleotides. Lineage: Eukaryota; Metazoa; Chordata; Mammalia; Rodentia; Cricetidae. The record is from RefSeq and is a predicted model, not a curated record.